RNAcentral lists this ribosomal RNA (904 nucleotides) under uncultured organism. Its description in RNAcentral is "SSU rRNA". It matches the Rfam family "Bacterial small subunit ribosomal RNA", at positions 512 to 1414 of the family's 1533-position model. The record is from RNAcentral.
CAGCCGCGGUAAUACGUAGGGUGCGAGCGUUGUCCGGAUUUAUUGGGCGUAAAGGGCUCGUAGGUGGUUGAUCGCGUCGGAAGUGUAAUCUUGGGGCUUAUCCCUGAGCGUGCUUUCGAUACGGGUUGACUUGAGGAAGGUAGGGGAGAAUGAAAUUCCUGGUGGAGCGGUGGAAUGCGCAGAUAUCAGGAGGAACACCAGUGGCGAAGGCGGUUCUCUGGGCCUUUCCUGACGCUGAGGAGCGAAAGCGUGGGGAGCGAACAGGCUUAGAUACCCUGGUAGUCCACGCUGUAAACGGUGGGUACUAGGUGUGGGGUCCAUUCCACGGGUUCCGUGCCGUAGCUAACGCUUUAAGUACCCCGCCUGGGAGUACGGCCGCAAGGCUAAAACUCAAAGGAAUUGACGGGGCCCCGCGCAAGCGGCGGAGCAUGCGGAUUAAUUCGAUGCAACGCGUAGGACCUUACCUGGGUUUGACAUGGAUCGGGAGUGCUCAGAGAUGGGUGUGCCUCUUUUGGGGUCGGUUCACAGGUGGUGCAUGGCUGUCGUCAGCUCGUGUCGUGAGAUGUUGGGUUAAGUCCCGCAACGAGCGCAACCCUUGUUCACUGUUGCCAGCACGUUAUGGUGGGGACUCAGUGGAGACCGCCGGGGUCAACUCGGAGGAAGGUGGGGAUGACGUCAAGUCAUCAUGCCCCUUAUGUCCAGGGCUUCACGCAUGCUACAAUGGCUGGUACAGAGAGUGGCGAGCCUGUGAGGGUGAGCGAAUCUCGGAAAGCCGGUCUCAGUUCGGAUUGGGGUCUGCAACUCGACCUCAUGAAGUCGGAGUCGCUAGUAAUCGCAGAUCAGCAACGCUGCGGUGAAUACGUUCCCGGGGCUUGUACACACCGCCCGUCAAGGGCGAAUUCCA